UCCUUGAUCCUUACCCACAAAUAAUUCUCAGUGGCGUACAGAGAAAUGUACUCGGAUCAUUACUAGGCCAAGAAACAGAAUUCCGUUGGAUUCUUUCCGGACCCACACCUGAAAACCCCAUCUCACCCUCAUUAUUGUCAUUUUUCAAUAAGACGACCCCCGACAAGUUGCUCACACAAUUUUGGGAAGUCGAAGAAAUUCCGAAAAAGCCUCUACCCUCAACUUCGGAUAUACUGUGUGAGCAAAAUUAUCAAAAAACAACCCGAAGACACCCAACUGGGCGCUACGUGGUAACAUUAUCCUUUAAAACCCCAGAAAAAGUAGACUUGGGCAACUCAAGACAUAUAGCUUUAGCUCAGUUUCUAAGAAAUGAAAAAUCCCUAUCUAGAAAACCUGAAAUAAAAACAGAAUACGACAAGGCCAUCAACGAGCACCUGGAACUCGGUCAUAUGACCAAAAUAGAAUAUGACCCCGCAGAGAAUACGAAAAUAUACUAUCUACCACAUCACGCAGUCAUCAAAACCGAUCGCUUAACGACCCAACUGCGAGUGGUAUUCAACGCAUCCUGCCACACCUGAAAUAGAAACAGCUUCAACGAUGUACUACACACUGGACCUAUUUUACAAGCAGACCUGGUAUUCCUAGUGGUAAAGUGGCGUAUGUUUCGAAUUGUAUUCAAUGCAGAUAUUCAAAAAAUGUAUCGUCAAAUACUUGUUGAAAGAAAACACACCCCAUUUCAAAGAAUCUUAUUUAGAAAAUCGAUUAAUGACCCCGUAGAAGAUUUUGCACUACAAACUGUUACUUUUGGUAUUAACUGUGCCCCAUAUUUAGCUAUCCGUACCCUCCUCAAAUUAGCGGAUGAUGUACAAGAAAUCCACCCACUGGCAGCAGAGAUACUUCGAAACGGAAUGUACGUCGAUGACGUACUUGCAGGAGCACAUGACGUAGCAACUGCGAGGAUGGCACGAGACGAACUUACUUCAUCUUUGGAGUCCGCAGGAUUUGCUCUACGCAAAUGGACCUCAAAUGACCCAAAAGUCUUAUCUGGAAUCUCACAAGAACACUUGUUGGAUACGAACUUACUUAGUUUACCGGAAUCCAAUAGCACAAAAACACUGGGGAUCAGAUGGAAUGCAAAAAAAGAUGCAUUCGUUUUUUCAUCAACCCUAUUCACGAUAAGACAUCGUUUACUAAAAGAGAAGUACCUAUUAUCGAUUAUAGCAAAAUUGUUCGACCCAGCUGGUUGGCUCAGUCCCGUUGUAGUCACAGCCAAAAUAAUAAUGCAACAAAUAUGACUCGAUAAAUCCGUUUCUGAUGAAAGUUUAAAACCCUUAACUCUCCAUCGCUGGAAAACCUUCAUUAAGGAUUACGAUUCCCUAAUCAAUCCUUCUAAUUCGAAUCGAAAGCUGCUUGCAUUCUCGACCUUUAAGCCUACUAAUUGAAGACACCAGGAAUAUAGAACCUUUAACUCCAGGCCAUUUCUUAAUAGGUACCGCUUUAUUAACCCCAGCAGAACCCAACUUAGAAGAUACGCAGCUAAGCAUCGCACAUAGAUGGCAAAAGUUAAAGAUACUCCAUUAACACUUCUGCAAACGAUGGAAAGAAGAAUAUCUAAAAGAACUCCACAAACGGUAUAAGUGGAAAUACCCUCAACGCAAUAUAGAGGUCAAUGAUAUGGUAGUUAUACGCCAAGAAACUCUACCCCCAAAUGAAUGGAAACUUGGUCGCAUCGAAAAAACCUAUCUUGGUGCAGACAAUAAGACCAGAUGACAUGGCUCCUCAAAACAGCAUAAAAUCAAUCUGCAGCUGACAGAGCAGCCCAGCGUCACCCGAAGCAUCACCCCACUCUCCGACAAUGGGACCCUGGCUAGACGCUUACAUCGCUUUAAAGCGACCCUCUCCCCCAUUCAAGAAGAAAGAAGAAGUACCCACCGCACGGCUCGGCGUACUAUCACCCAUUCAUCAAAACGCGCACAUAAACACGUCGCCUGUAGAUUGUGCAAAAAAGAUCAUCGGCUGGUGACAUGUUCAAAAUUUGAUAAAACGAACAUUCACGAAAAGUUUGACGCAGUAACUAAAUAUAAGUACUGCGUCAACUGCUUGGCCAGAUCACACUCAACACAAAAAUGCACAAGCGCAAAACGAUGAAACAUGUGUAACGGAAAGCACCAUUAAACCCUACAUGGACACCCCAGGUUGUUUUGCAAAGAGAAAACCAAACCAACAAAGAGCGACGAACGACUGCACAAAGAUCAAGAGAUUCCAACACUACUGGCCAAGCCGAGCCUUAUACCCACUGCCAUGAUAAAAAUAAAACUCGAUGGCAAAUGGAAUAAAAUACGUGCCAUAAUUAACCCGACCAGAAAGGUGACAAUUAUUGCCUCGGAGCUAGUUCAGAGAUUGAGGUUACCGAAAACGUACCUUGACUCUCACCGCAUAUGUAAAAUCGUCAUAGGGUCACUCACUGAUUUCGACUGGCAUGUCGAUGUCAACUGCCUUAUGACGCAGGAAUUAGCGACCCGACCCUACAAUCGUGAUAUUGGUGGCGAAAUCUUUAAGAAAUUCGACCAUUUAGUCCUAGGCGACCCUAUGUUUCACAAGGAUGAGAAAAUCAUGAUGGAACUGGGAGCAGACAUCUACCCAAGGACAAUGAAACCCGGAUUAUUCAACCCAGACAACAGCACCGUGAUCGCACAAAACACCGCACUCGGUUGGACUCUAACCGGUGCUUGUGCGAUUUAAACCCUAAACCCUGCAAGGCGGCCGGGAUGUUCAUACCAAAUGAACACAUCCCUGCAUUGUUCUCCAAACUCGUAUAAAUACGAAUUAGAGGACAAUGCAAAAGGCUCAACAGCACCAACAUAGCUCAUAAUUCUAAUUAGAACAAAUCAGCAGGCAGGAGCAAAUAUCAGCGCGGACGGACACAAAAAGGCGCGAAAAUCAGAUCGCCCCAGCAGGACAACAACAACAACAGCACCACCACCAAAAUCUACGCGGGAUUAUCAACCCACAUCAGGUUAUAAUUGAAUUCAUAGUUAAUUUAUCUUAUUUAAGUCUAAGUUAUAAAUAACACAUAAAUUGAGUUAUACAUAUGUAUAACACUUAACAAACACGCACAUAAAUAUUGUACAAUUAACCCACACAAAUUGUCUAUAU
Bactrocera oleae (olive fruit fly) is the source of this 3156-nucleotide non-coding RNA. The record is from RefSeq and is a predicted model, not a curated record. NCBI's taxonomy places the organism in Eukaryota, Metazoa, Arthropoda, Insecta, Diptera, Tephritidae.